Molecule: ribosomal RNA, 158 nt
Filed under: Neofusicoccum parvum
Lineage: Eukaryota; Fungi; Ascomycota; Dothideomycetes; Botryosphaeriales; Botryosphaeriaceae
Description: 5.8S ribosomal RNA
Rfam family: 5.8S ribosomal RNA (bases 1-121)
About the family: 5.8S ribosomal RNA (5.8S rRNA) is a component of the large subunit of the eukaryotic ribosome. It is transcribed by RNA polymerase I as part of the 45S precursor that also contains 18S and 28S rRNA.
Source: RNAcentral
CGAUGAAGAACGCAGCGAAAUGCGAUAAGUAAUGUGAAUUGCAGAAUUCAGUGAAUCAUCGAAUCUUUGAACGCACAUUGCGCCCCUUGGUAUUCCGAGGGGCAUGCCUGUUCGAGCGUCAUUUCAACCCUCAAGCUCUGCUUGGUGUUGGGCCCCGU